This 1195-nucleotide long non-coding RNA is filed under the name Parus major (Great Tit). RNAcentral describes it as "lncRNA (ENSPMJG00000000336.1)". Lineage: Eukaryota; Metazoa; Chordata; Aves; Passeriformes; Paridae. The record is from RNAcentral.
CACACCAUAGUUGACAGUCAGGAGCAAGAAACUCCCAGAGGCCAAGCCUUUGGGUGUUGAAAAUUACUUACUGAGUAAUGUAAAGAAAGCUAAAAAAUACUAUGGUGGAUAAAUACUUUUAGAGAUUUACUGCUUUUCAGUUCUGCUAGGUCAAAUUUGGAACCAUAAUCUUGAUUAAUGGAAAGUUUUGAUGAUCUUGUACUUUGGCACAAGCAUGGUUUAAUAUUUCUUCAAAACCACUUAAUUCACCUACUUUACUUCAAGAAAACUGUCUAACAGAAGGUCUUAUUGUUCACAAACAAUAACACCCUUCAGAGUUUCAUUAAUGUUCAUUUGCAAGGAGUGUUUGUAAAGCUCAAUCAAUGUAGACUGCAUUAGGUGUGACACUGAAGGGAUUAGAGGAACAGAGAGAAGUAUGUAUAGCACAGUUUAUCUGGGAGAUAAAAAGCAGCUUAGUAGUGCUGAUGUACUUUUUCCACUCUCCAGAAGUUGUUUGAGUCCAAUAGCUGUGGACAGAAGUUCAACAAGAGGCCAACAUUUUGCUCUGCCUCAGUGGAAAAACCCAGGUCCACUCAACACUGAUUGCAUUACAAGUGACUUUCUACAAGGGUUACACUCUGAAAAAUUAUAUUUCCUUGAUGUCCAUGGAGCAAUUGCAGAUGCUCUUCAAGCACCUUGAGAAGAUAAGCUGCUGUCACAGUGCUUUACUUCCAGCUUCUAUUGUCUUCUAAGGAAGCAGAGAUUUUCAGGGAAGACUACGGGACUUGGGUCUGCCAUUGUGUUUCUGCAGGGUGAUAGCACUGCUUGCCUGCUUGCUGCACUGCUGUAGCAGGAAGAUGUCAUGCUGAGAGGAAACACAGCUGAUUCUAAAGACAGAGCGGCACAGUGGACUUCCAUGGACAUUAAAAUGCUGGUCACUACAAGAAUCUGCUACAUGGCUCGUACUGAUGCUCUUGCAUUAGCUUUUCAAAGAGCAGCAAUCCUGAAACAUGUCUGCAAUCACACCGGGGUGCCAGAAAACCUUAGGGUCAUUGUUAAGGCAUGAGUUCUGGUAUCUGCAAACAGGGCUUCCAGGAUCAAGAAUUUUUAUAGGUAUAACUAGUUAUGAUGUAAGAGACAAAAAUACACACAGAAACACAAAUAAUAUCAAAUUUCUCUAAAUAAAUUAUUAGUAAGGAAAUUAAAUAUUAUGUUU